This 209-nucleotide unclassified non-coding RNA is filed under the name Glomus sp. RNAcentral's name for it is "partial contains 5.8S ribosomal RNA and internal transcribed spacer 2". The stretch from base 1 to 65 matches the Rfam family "5.8S ribosomal RNA", at positions 84 to 154 of the family's 154-position model. The record is from RNAcentral. Lineage: Eukaryota; Fungi; Glomeromycota; Glomeromycetes; Glomerales; Glomeraceae.
GUGAAUCAUCAAAUUUUUGAACGCAAAUUGCACUCUCCUCGGAGAGUAUGCCCGUUUGAGGGUCAGCCUAUAAAAAAUCGACAUCGUUGCUGUUUCGCGGUGGCGUUCGUCGGAAAUUGGGUCAUCUUAAAUCUUUUGGUUUUAAGCGACUUAAAAUUUUCUUUUUGGUUCCAUGCACGUCCCUAAGAUCCAUUCCCUUCCACGCUUCA